AUGGGGAAGAAAGGUAUAGUUGUGGCGACCACCGUCGUCGCCGUGAUGACUGUCAUCUUCGGAGUCAUCGGUGCGGUUUUCUUGGGACUGAGACGCUAUGAGGAUGACCGCGGUGACCGCAGCGUGUGCAAGUACGCGCGAUCGCCGGCGACGGCUUGCGGCGUCGUGGCGGCCGUGCUGGCGCUAACGACACAGAUUCUCGCUAGCGUGGCCAUCGGCUGCUGUGGGGCAUGGCAGAAUCCCAAGAGGGCCAAUCGCGUCGCCGCCGUCGUUUUCUACGUCAUCUCAUGGAUCCUAGCGAUCAUAGCGGUGCUGGUGUUUCUGGGCGGCGCCCUAUUAGGGAUUGAAGGAUAUAAGGAGAAAACUAUUGGGAAAACUAUUGAGAACGGUAGUUGUGUCGGAGGUGUCGGAGGUGAAGGAGUUUUCGUGGAUGCGAUAUUCCUGUUUCUUGUAGUUGUCGCCCUUGAGGUCUCCUCGUAUCUUCUUAUUCAGAAAGAUGACCACCACCAAGCAGCCGCAAGCGAUAAUCCUCCUUCGAUACCAACCGCUACAUCUCCUUUGGCAACAACAGCUACCUCUAAAGAUGAUGCCUACGCCUCCGCUCCCGCACCAGCAAAUCAAGUCUGA
This 627-nucleotide ribosomal RNA is filed under the name Triticum aestivum (bread wheat). RNAcentral's name for it is "partial small subunit ribosomal RNA". Lineage: Eukaryota; Viridiplantae; Streptophyta; Magnoliopsida; Poales; Poaceae. The record is from RNAcentral.